RNAcentral lists this ribosomal RNA (207 nucleotides) under uncultured bacterium. RNAcentral describes it as "partial 16S ribosomal RNA". It matches the Rfam family "Bacterial small subunit ribosomal RNA", at positions 568 to 774 of the family's 1533-position model. The record is from RNAcentral.
CAUGUAGGCGGAUUGUUAAGUCUGGUGUGAAAGCCCGGGGCUCAACCCCGGAAGUGCAUUGGAUACUGGCAAUCUUGAGUAUGGGAGAGGAAAGUGGAAUUCCGAGUGUAGGAGUGAAAUCCGUAGAUAUUCGGAGGAACACCAGUGGCGAAGGCGGCUUUCUGGACCAAUACUGACGCUGAGAUGCGAAAGCGUGGGGAGCAAACA